CUUCAAGAACAACAGUAACCAAAAGUCAGAGAAUGGCACAGAAUCUAGAAUAGGACAACAAGAAGCUCAUCAAAUGCAGUACCUACAGGAAGGACUGGGAAAAUUAGGUUGAUUAGCCUAAAAUAACAUAAGAUUAAGGAAGGGAACAGAUAAGGAUCCUCAAAGGUCUGAAACACCCUAGGCUCAUCUAUAUGUGGACUGAACAUCACCGACAAUACAAUAGAGUGGAUAUGCUGCAGAUAUCAUGGGUACAUGGGAGUCAUUUUCCCACUCCUUACUAAGAAGUGGUAAAACAGUUGCAUUAUGAUUUCCAGUCUGGUUUUCAUUAGAUGAUAACGUUUUUAUUUUUAUUCCUCUCCCCUUCUCCAUUUCAUCAAAUCUUUUAUUUAUUGAAGCUUAUCAGUACAGUUACAUAUAAAAGCUUGAAGAAUUAAUUUUUAUAUAAUUGGAUGAUGUUUUCUUUUUGCAACAUGGAAAAAUACUUAUAUAGCCUUUGUGAUUUACUAUGGGUCUGACUUCAGCCACUAUUGAAAACUUAGUGUUCCCUAAUAAUACAUGAAAAUGUCAGGUAAUGGUUUAGCUAUCUCUGCUCCCUGAGUGCUUUUUGAAUUAUGGUUCUAUUUAAGAAAUAUGUGUCUAUUAUUAUUGUACUUUUGGAAGGGAUUAUUUCACUUAUAAAUUAUUUCCAUCAUCUUUUACAGUUGCUAUCACAGCUUGACCUGUAUCCGAUUCCUACCUAAUUAAAGACUUUAUCACCUCAUCAAUUCCUUUUUGAAAUGUCAAAUUAUUACUACUAUUAUUUUAUUGCAUAGCACUAAGGAUUAUAUUGUUAAGAAGACCCAAUUGCCUCUUGAAAGAACUUUAUCUCAUUAGAUCAAAAUUUGCAUAUAGAUCUAACUAGGAACUUGAUUUAGUUCUACCAUACAGAUAAACAGAAAAAAAAUAAAAAUAAAAAAGCAGUUACACAUUUGAAAGCUGUAAGACAAGUGUUACUUCACGUUUAUAAUCUGAAAAAAGCUGUAGAGUCCUACAAAUGAGUUCUUGAAACUUGUUAGCUAGGCUAUAGUCGUAA
Molecule: long non-coding RNA, 1072 nt
Organism: Oxyura jamaicensis (ruddy duck)
Lineage: Eukaryota; Metazoa; Chordata; Aves; Anseriformes; Anatidae
Exons: 2
Source: RefSeq, a predicted model, not a curated record